RNAcentral lists this transfer RNA (76 nucleotides) under Alienimonas californiensis. RNAcentral describes it as "Planctomycetes bacterium CA12 tRNA-Glu". It matches the Rfam family "tRNA". Rfam says of the family: Transfer RNA (tRNA) molecules are approximately 80 nucleotides in length. Their secondary structure includes four short double-helical elements and three loops (D, anti-codon, and T loops). Further hydrogen bonds mediate the characteristic L-shaped molecular structure. tRNAs have two regions of fundamental functional importance: the anti-codon, which is responsible for specific mRNA codon recognition, and the 3' end, to which the tRNAs corresponding amino acid is attached (by aminoacyl-tRNA synthetases). tRNAs cope with the degeneracy of the genetic code in two manners: having more than one tRNA (with a specific anti-codon) for a particular amino acid; and 'wobble' base-pairing, i.e. permitting non-standard base-pairing at the 3rd anti-codon position. Lineage: Bacteria; Pseudomonadati; Planctomycetota; Planctomycetia; Planctomycetales; Planctomycetaceae. The record is from RNAcentral.
GCUCCGUUCGUCUAGCCCGGCCCAGGACACCGCCCUCUCACGGCGGAGACACGGGUUCAAAUCCCGUACGGAGUAC